RNAcentral lists this transfer RNA (37 nucleotides) under Tremaster mirabilis. RNAcentral describes it as "partial tRNA-Phe". Lineage: Eukaryota; Metazoa; Echinodermata; Asteroidea; Valvatida; Asterinidae. The record is from RNAcentral.
UGCUAAGGAGAGGAUUUAAACUUCUGUACAAGCAUUU